AACGAACGCUGGCGGCAUGCCUAACACAUGCAAGUCGAACGAGACCCUCGGGUCUAGUGGCGCACGGGUGCGUAACGCGUGGGAAUCUGCCCUUCGGUUGGGAAUAACUGAGAGAAAUUUCAGCUAAUACCUUAUAAUGUCUUCGGACCAAAGAUUUAUCGCCGAGGGAUGAGCCCGCGUAGGAUUAGGUAGUUGGUGGGGUAAUGGCCUACCAAGCCGACGAUCCUUAGCUGGUCUGAGAGGAUGAUCAGCCACACUGGGACUGAGACACGGCCCAGACUCCUACGGGAGGCAGCAGUGGGGAAUAUUGGACAAUGGGCGAAAGCCUGAUCCAGCAAUGCCGCGUGAGUGAUGAAGGCCUUAGGGUUGUAAAGCUCUUUUACCCGGGAUGAUAAUGACAGUACCGGGAGAAUAAGCUCCGGCUAACUCCGUG
This 433-nucleotide ribosomal RNA is filed under the name uncultured bacterium. RNAcentral's name for it is "partial 16S ribosomal RNA". It matches the Rfam family "Bacterial small subunit ribosomal RNA", at positions 29 to 507 of the family's 1533-position model. The record is from RNAcentral.